This 28-nucleotide small RNA is filed under the name Bombyx mori (domestic silkworm). RNAcentral's name for it is "piRNA piR-bmo-1475440". The record is from RNAcentral. Lineage: Eukaryota; Metazoa; Arthropoda; Insecta; Lepidoptera; Bombycidae.
UUCUAGUGCGAAUAUGAGACUCAUUGUU